UUCCGGUUGAUCCCGCCGGAGGUCACUGCUAUUGGGAUUCGACUANCCAUGCGAGUCGAGAGGGUUCGGCCCUCGGCGUACGGCUCAGUAACACGUGGAUAAUCUAACCUUAGGUGGAGGAUAAUCUCGGGAAACUGAGAAUAAUACUCCAUAGGUCUAGGAUGUUGGAAUACACUUAGACCGAAAGCUCCGGCGCCUAAGGAUGAGUCUGCGGACUAUCAGGUAGUAGUCAGGGUAAAGACCUGACUAGCCUACGACGGAUACGGGUUGUGAGAGCAAUAACCUGGAGAUGAUAUCUGAGACACGAUAUCAGGCCCUACGGGGCGCAGCAGGCGCGAAAACUUCGCAAUGUGCGAAAGCACGACGAGGGAAUCCCAAGUGCUUGCUCGUAAGAGUAAGCUGUUUUUAUGUCUAAAACGCAUAGAGAGUAAGAGCUGGGUAAGACGGGUGCCAGCCGCCGCGGUAAUACCUGCAGCUCAAGUGGUGGCCGCUAUUAUUGGGCCUAAAACGUCCGUAGCCGGUUUGUUAAAUGCCUAGGUAAAUCGUGUAGCUUAACUAUACGAAUUCUGGGUAGACUGGUAAACUUGAGACCGGGCGAGGCUAGAGGUACUCCUGGGGUAGAGGUGAAAUUCUGUAAUCCUAGGGGGACCACCAGUGGCGAAGGCGUCUAGCUAGAACGGGUCUGACGGUGAGGGACGAAGCCCUGGGGCGCAAACGGGAUUAGAUACCCCGGUAGUCCAGGGUGUAAACGCUGCUUGCUUGAUGUUAGUUGGGCUUCGGGCCCAAUUAGUGUCGGAGAGAAGUCGUUAAGCAAGCUGCCUGGGAAGUACGGCCGCAAGACUGAAACUUAAAGGAAUUGGCGGGGGAGCACCGCAACGGGUGGAGCGUGCGGUUUAAUUGGAUCAACGCCGG
RNAcentral lists this ribosomal RNA (912 nucleotides) under uncultured archaeon. RNAcentral's name for it is "bacterial SSU rRNA". It matches the Rfam family "Archaeal small subunit ribosomal RNA", at positions 1 to 921 of the family's 1478-position model. The record is from RNAcentral.